Lycium barbarum (goji berry) is the source of this 85-nucleotide small nucleolar RNA. RefSeq annotates it as small nucleolar RNA snoR8a. The transcript has a single exon. The record is from RefSeq and is a predicted model, not a curated record. Lineage: Eukaryota; Viridiplantae; Streptophyta; Magnoliopsida; Solanales; Solanaceae.
AGUGGCUAAGAAAUUAUAAAAUAAUUCCUCGUUCUGAAUAUUGUUGUCACUGCAUGAUAGACCCUUUUACAACCAUCGAAGAGCA